GAUGAACGCUGGCGGCGUGCCUAAUACAUGCAAGUCGAGCGAACAGACGAGGAGCUUGCUCCUCUGAUGUUAGCGGCGGACGGGUGAGUAACACGUGGAUAACCUACCUAUAAGACUGGGAUAACUUCGGGAAACCGGAGCUAAUACCGGAUAAUAUUUUGAACCGCAUGGUUCAAUAGUGAAAGACGGUUUUGCUGUCACUUAUAGAUGGAUCCGCGCCGCAUUAGCUAGUUGGUAAGGUAACGGCUUACCAAGGCAACGAUGCGUAGCCGACCUGAGAGGGUGAUCGGCCACACUGGAACUGAGACACGGUCCAGACUCCUACGGGAGGCAGCAGUAGGGAAUCUUCCGCAAAGGGCGAAAGCUUGACGGAGCAACGCCGCGUGAGUGAUGAAGGUCUUCGGAUCGUAAAACUCUGUUAUUAGGGAAGAACAAAUGUGUAAGUAACUAUGCACGUCUUGACGGUACCUAAUCAGAAAGCCACGGCUAACUACGUG
Molecule: ribosomal RNA, 497 nt
Filed under: uncultured bacterium
Lineage: Bacteria
Description: partial 16S ribosomal RNA
Rfam family: Bacterial small subunit ribosomal RNA
Source: RNAcentral